RNAcentral lists this transfer RNA (71 nucleotides) under Myotis davidii. It matches the Rfam family "tRNA". From Rfam's summary of the family: Transfer RNA (tRNA) molecules are approximately 80 nucleotides in length. Their secondary structure includes four short double-helical elements and three loops (D, anti-codon, and T loops). The record is from Rfam by way of RNAcentral. Lineage: Eukaryota; Metazoa; Chordata; Mammalia; Chiroptera; Vespertilionidae.
GCCAACAUGGCUCAAUGGUUGAGCAUCGAGCUAUGAACCAGGAGGUCAUGGUUCAAUUCCAAGUCAGGGCA